This is a long non-coding RNA of Tyto alba (common barn owl), 5394 nucleotides long. RefSeq lists it as uncharacterized. NCBI's taxonomy places the organism in Eukaryota, Metazoa, Chordata, Aves, Strigiformes, Tytonidae. The transcript has 2 exons. The record is from RefSeq and is a predicted model, not a curated record.
AAAGCCCAUGAAAGGAAACAUGGGAGCAAAGACUUGUUGAAUUAGACUUUCUCCCAUUUCUACAUAUAUGAUGUUUGAUCUCAAGAUAAUGUCUGCCUCAUUGUCUGUGGUUACCAGCAUACCUAGAAAGUCAAAGGAAUAUCCUCUAGUAUUUAAAACAUUACAACUUAAUUUUUUAUUUUUUUUUCUUUUCCUUCAUACUUCCUGCCCAUUCCCUAUACGGCCUGAAUUUUAUAAAACGGAAGUAGAAAAAUGGCAGCCACAUCCAUCCUAGAAACGGGUGAAACCAGCUGGCAGCGGCUCGUGGAGGAUGAGGUUGGUACCUGGGUGACACGCCGAGGCACCACCCAGUCAUGGGGGGGGAGCGAGUGCCUGGCUCCCAGGUGCUGUACAGGAAGAAGUUGGAUAACAGAAGAAAAUAUGUGGUUGCUGCUGCCUGUGAGCAGUUUGUCAGCUGAAAGACCAACAGUUGUUAUCGCUCGUGUUGAACUCUGCUGUCCCAGCCUUUCGUGCUCUCCCGGCCUCUGCCGUGCGCAGGUCUGGGACCUUCAGUCUCCUCUCGUUCGGCCCGAGACAUCGGGCAAAUCCAGCAGCUUUUCCAAGUCACUUUGCAAAUUGUGCGUGGGGUAAGGAGGGCAGAAUCAGGCCCUGGGCUGUCUGUGUUAUGUGGGUCCCCGGGGAGAGGGUGGCCAGACCUGCCAGGCGUUGGAGGAUUUGUCAAGCAUCCCACAAACGUGUGUCACGAUGUGCUCCAGUCCCAUCAGCUACCGUUGUGCCAGGGAAUCCUGGAGCCUGCUGCAUGGCCUCGUAUGGUCCUCGCCUGGGGUAAGUAACUUUCUUUUUCAUGGAUGAGUAAACUAUUGUAUUGCUGUUGUUUUCACUUUCACUGGCCAGCCCGAGUAAGAGGCAGGCGGUUUACGCCUGGCAGCGGAGUAGGACUGCUCCGGUGUUUCCCCUUCGCAGAUACUCGUGUUUACAAGUGGGCUGGGAGGAGGAAUGAAACAUCAGUAGCUGGAGAAAGUCCCGGCGUAAAGGAACUGCAGGCAAUGCAUCCUCCAAUUUCCUCAGCAGCGAAGAGCCGAGUUCCCAGCUGAAAGUGGGAUCUGCCCAGAGCUGUGUGGGGACUCUCUCCUCCGGGGCCUCCAAGCUGCUGCCGUACAAAUUACAGACUCCCCUCCUCUCCGAUUCACUCCCGUGCUUCUGCUCGGCCAGAUGCUUUGUGCAGGUGUGAGCUGCUGCUGGGUUAGAUCCCACCCCAUGCUGGGACCAUCUCCCAUUAUUGCGUGUCCCAGCCUCUGAAAGACAAAAAUCACCUCUCCCAUCCAAAAACAGAUGCAGCAAACUGCUGGGUAGCAGCUCUCUGCCAUGAAUAGACUGGCUGUGUAGUGGGGAGAGGCAUGGAUAACACAUUGCUUGGAAGACUAAUUCAAAUAUAGCUCUGCAACCAGCACCUGUGAUUAAAGACAAGAGAGAAGUAAACAGGCUAAUGUCUCAACUCCUGGUUUAGCUCUGAGGGUCAUUUCCUUGCCAACAGUCUCCUCUGGUAGUAAAUGCUAAGCUGCUUCAGUUUUGGACAAGUAAAUUCUUGCUCACAGAAAAUAAACAGUAAAACCAGUGCAUUAUGUUGCCAUUAGACUAAAAAAUGGGAAGCCCUGUGUACGAUAAUAAGCAGUUCCCUGCCAUACCUGAGCAGCGGGAAGUGUGAUUUGUGUUUCCUUCCCCAGCAAGUUUCACAGCCUCCUCCUAUAAUAUUUAUUUAUAAAACCCUUGAACCAUAAACCCAUAUCAGCCUCUGCCUUUCUCCCUACUCUGCAGAAUUGUAAAAAGCAGACACCAGACUGACACCAGGCUAUUCUGGCAUGCUUGCAAGGUAGGAUAAUGUUUGGGAAGCUGCGUGAGAAGCCUCCAUCCUACAUCCCUUUUGGAGAGACCAGUGAAAGUUGCGAAGGAGGAAAGCCCAGGCCUGCUGGUACUUCUGAUGAGGAGAGCCCUGUUCCUGCUGCCUCGUCCCUUCUGCAGUCCCUGUGCUCACAGAUGGGGAUGUCUUUAGAGUCAUGAUGGAGAUGUUUUUAAGGCUCAAACCCAGGAAGUACUUUAGUCUUCGUAGCUACCAGUUGGGGUUUAGCCUUUCCAGUGUUUUCAGGCAACUUUGCUGAUAGUGGCUGAGUUGGGAGAGAAUGGCAGCAGCACUGCUGCCCCAGGUCUGUAGCUCACGGAAAAGCCAGCCCAGGCUUUCCCUCUGGAAAUCUGCUAGAUGUUUCGUGGAGCACUGCCUUGGGACCAGCCAUCCCUCCCCAGCUUCCACACCUCCCAGCUCAUCUGCCUAAUUAUCUGGUAGCUUCACCCAGCCAGACAGUGGGCAUGGGAAAAAUAGGGCUGCAGCAGCCUGGGGAGGGCCGGUGUGCUCAGCAGAGGAGUCUGGUCCUGCCUGCUCUGGUAGCAGCUCCCAGCCCUGGAGCUCCCCUGCCUCCACAGAGCUUGUCAGAUGCUGGUGUGUGUGAAAAGAUCCUUUACAGUCUGAUCCCUGGCAAGGACACUGCACCCUCCGAGCGCGGCAGCGGCGUGCUGCCCGGCUGGCGAUGCGAGAUGGAGUGACUGCUCAGUGACCCCUGCACCCAACUUAUCAGCCAAAGGAGUCGCUGUCAGUGCAGUGUUGGGAUGUGGGGACGUGCUGUUAAUGACAUAAUUAAGUCAUUAUUCCUAAUGAUACACCGCAAUCUCGUAUGUAAAGACAAUAUUAUGUUUGCACUUCAAAAGCUCAUUGCUGAGAUCUUUGGAAUGAGCAUUUUUGUCCUGAUUCUUCUAUGACUAUAGUUUAAAAAAAAACCCUAUUGUAAGUUUAGAGAGGACCAGAUUCUUUUUUGUGCAAUUUAAGUUCAGACAAUCAGGGCACGAUUACUGUGCAGUCAGCACCUUUACUUUUAACAACUAGAGCAAUAAUAAUGUGUUAUUAGCCUGUACAGUGUCAAAUACACUUCCAUUUAAAUGUGCUGCUGAUGUGUGUUACUGAGCUGACUUCUGCUCUCUAGUCCUGUGAUUCUAUCAGCCAGGAAUCCAAGCUCAUUAUGCAAUUGCAAAUUGUUUCUGGAUUUCAUUAAAUCAGCAAAUGGGCAUUAGCUAGAUAUUUUACAUCAGUUGAACUUGUGAUAAUUUAUCCAAUUGGGCAACUGUUCUUUUGGAAUAAAAAAAGUCCUGAGGGAUUAUGAUUCAUUUUCAUUUCUCUGCAUAAGUCUCAGUGCAACCCCUGCAGCAUGGCUGCAAAACCAGGCAAAGAAUUGCAAUCCUACUGCAGGUGCUGAGGACAACAGCGUUCUCCCUUCAGUCUUUCACUGCUGCCACAUACCAGGAAAAGGGGAGUGAACUGCUGGUAUAAUUUAACAAUAUCAAUGGAUUUAGAUUGGACAGUUCAAAAAAGACGUUCUUGUGGCAACUCAUGUUUUAUAUAAAUAGAAGGGUUGUGAUAAAUUACAAUUAUUUUUUUUUUUUUUUAUAAAACUGCAAUGUUAAGGGCCACUGGAUAUCUUGGGCUGUGUCCAGAACAUGACUGGUUGUAUCCUGGAUAUGAGAGGAUGUAGAGACUCGAUUCUCUUUGCAUUAUAACCUUCUGUUGUUGCCGAGGUGGUGUGGAGUAGAAAUCCAGUUUGGGGAUGUCAGCAGGUUCUACCCACUUCAAGCAGGUAUAAGUGAUGACGUCAGUAACACUGUAGAUGUCCCUGAAAUAAGAGGAUUUGUUAUAAAUUGGCAAAUGCACCAAGGGAGAGACAAGGUGUGGACACAGGAUUUAACACCCUGUUGACAGAUUGAAUUUGCUGAUGAGCAAUCCCCCAGCGCCGCAGAGAUAAGGCGCAGCAGCGCAGCCCUGGAACGGGCUCGUCAGGGGUGGUCUGUCCGGGGGGCCGCAUCCCCCCACUAAAGGAGAGGGGCAGCAUGUGGGGUGGGAGAAAUGGAGAUCCAGAUUUGUUCCCUGUUGAACUCAGCAGGAGAAGCACCCCUGAUUGCAGCUGAACUUGGCCCCGCUUCCUCCUUCUCUUCUGAUCACUUCAUAACCAGGUUCACAUUCAUCCAGAUCGAAUUUCAUGUACUUGCAAAGUCUGACUCAGCAAUAAAUGUUAUCAGCUUGCAUUCAGACCUCCAGAAAACUGAAAAAAAGUCAACCUUUCCAGAACAGACAUUAUAUAGGUGCUUUGUCUUGCUGAGUCAGGCCCUGAGUGUGCUGGGACCCUUAUUGUUUUGAAACUUAAAAGAUGGUCCACAGCCCAUGAAAUAGAUAAGUGCUCGAUUCAUUGGAUACAAGAAUAUUCUUCAGUCAGUUAAUGCUGAGUGGGAAAAGCUGAAGAUGCAUUGCUAUUUGGGGCAAAGUUUAUGAAACCUUUAAUUCUAAAGGAAACAUUGGGUAAAGUCUUGCAGAAUGCUCAGAUGUAUACUGAGCCUCUUAAAGGACACGAGUCUUCUUGUGCAGUUUCUGUUCACAGGAAUGAUUAACUGACUUUACAUCUUUUAAAGCAGAAGCUAUUGCUGAUAUUUUGUCUCUACACGUUUUCCAGAUACAGCCUCAUGUGUUCAACAUAGAGCUAGUAACUUCCUAAGCUCACAGAUUUCAUGAGAGUGCUUGUACUCAGAGGAAACAAGUUGCUCAACCACCAGCGUUAAGCAUCCUCAAAGGCAGACGAUGCUGCCACACCAACUGCCCGGCUGCGAGAGGAGUGCCUGAGCCCUGCUGCUGAGGCUGGCGAGUCCUGUGGAGAAAGAAAAUGUGGAAAUCCCUCUGCUGAGAUUACCCUGCCUCCAGCUAUACAAAGUGAGAAACAGUGAUUCACCUGCUCGCUCCCAGCACGGUGGUCCCUGGGGAAGGAGAUGCCUUGCUAGGACUUGAGCCAUAAAAACCAGGGAUUUAUAGAUCUCUAUCAGCAGCCAUGCGUUGUCCCUGGAAGCAAAAUUCUCUGCACUGUGUACUUCUAAUGCAUGUACAAAUUAUGUGAGCGGGAGAACUACAGCACAGUUUUCUCUCAAAGUGGGGGAUGAGGGUGGGGACUCGGAGCUGUGUUCCCUGCCUGGCCACUGACUUGCUGGGAUUUCAGGCUUCAAGACAUCUCCUGCUCGUGUCCCUGAGGUUUUGCAAGUGAAGAGAGCAGGGUGCUGGGGAGGGCAGGCGGCACGCUGCCCGCUGCCGAGCAAUGCCGCCGCCUCACCUCGAGCAUCCCCGGGGACGGGGGCUCCGGUGCUCGCCCCGUCCCCGGUCACCCAAGGAGGUGACGCUGUGGUUGAGGCAUCCCUCUGCGUCUUAGGUAACGCUGACGGACAGCUAGACACUCAAAUCAUGGAAGUUAUUACAGCUCUUCUUGGGGCAUUGAUACAUUUUUGACCAGAAAAAAAGAAAUUAACAUUUUACUGAAA